GAUGAACGCUAGCGGCAGGCUUAACACAUGCAAGUCGAGGGGUAGAAGGAGCUUGCUCCUUUGAGACCGGCGCACGGGUGCGUAACGCGUAUGCAAUCUACCUUUUGCAGAGGAUAGCCCAGAGAAAUUUGGAUUAAUACCUCAUAGUAUAGUACUUUGGCAUCAAGGAACUAUUAAAGUCACAACGGCAAAAGAUGAGCAUGCGUCCCAUUAGCUAGUUGGUAAGGUAACGGCUUACCAAGGCUACGAUGGGUAGGGGUCCUGAGAGGGAGAUCCCCCCACACUGGUACUGAGACACGGACCAGACUCCUACGGGAGGCAGCAGUGAGGAAUAUUGGACAAUGGGCGCAAGCCUGAUCCAGCCAUGCCGCGUGCAGGAUGACGGUCCUAUGGAUUGUAAACUGCUUUUGUACAGGGAAGAAACACUACUUCGUGAAGUAGCUUGACGGUACUGUAAGAAUAAGGAUCGGCUAACUCCGU
Molecule: ribosomal RNA, 480 nt
Filed under: uncultured bacterium
Lineage: Bacteria
Description: bacterial SSU rRNA
Rfam family: Bacterial small subunit ribosomal RNA
Source: RNAcentral